CAUAGCGACUAUCGUGGCAUAUCAAUAAGCGGAGGAAAAGAAACUAACUAAGGAUUCCCUCAGUAACGGCGAGUGAAGCGGGAAGAGCUCAAAUUUGAAAUCUUCAAGGUUCUACCUUGACGAAUUGUAGUUUAAAGAAGUGUUUUCUGUUGAAGUUUUCGGUAAAAGUUCUUUGGAAUAGGACAUCAUAGAGGGUGAGAAUCCCGUAUUUGAUCAUUAUUUCCUAGCUUUGUGAUACACUUUCAAAGAGUCGGAUUGUUUGGGAAUGCAGUCCAAAAUGGGUGGUAAAUUUCAUCUAAAGCUAAAUACUGGCGAGAGACCGAUAGCGAACAAGUACCGUGAGGGAAAGAUGAAAAGAACUUUGAAAAGAGAGUUAAACAGUACGUGAAAUUGUCAAAAGGGAAGCGUUUGACACCAGUGUUGUUUUUCCGAAAAUCAAUUACGAAUGUUUUAUUUUUGAGGAAGUUAUGACUUCAUCGGCUUGCUCCUUUCUUUAUGAAACUUUCUUAAUGCACUUUUCGGUUAACAAGUCAACAUCAAUUUCUUUUGUUGUAAAAGGGUAUGAGGAAGGUGGCUUUCUUUUCGGAGAAAGUGUUUAUAGCCUUGUGCCUCUGCAAUCGGAGAGAUUGAGGUCUGCAGCGUAGAUCCUUCGGGGUUAGAUACGUUUGUGCUAAGUUAUAGCUUUUCAUAGACAACUUGUUGACUAUGUUUAGUCUUGUAGCUUACUCGCUGACGCUAUUUUACCUACGCUUAGGAUGUUGAUAGUCACAGCGUGUAC
Molecule: ribosomal RNA, 778 nt
Filed under: uncultured Neocallimastigales
Lineage: Eukaryota; Fungi; Neocallimastigomycota; Neocallimastigomycetes; Neocallimastigales
Description: partial large subunit ribosomal RNA
Rfam family: Eukaryotic large subunit ribosomal RNA
Source: RNAcentral